AACGAACGCUGGCGGCAUGCCUAACACAUGCAAGUCGAACGAGAUCCUUCGGGGUUUAGUGGCGCACGGGUGCGUAACGCGUGGGAAUCUGCCCUUUGGUUCGGAAUAACAGCUGGAAACGGCUGCUAAUACCGGAUGAUGACGUAAGUCCAAAGAUUUAUCGCCAGAGGAUGAGCCCGCGUUGGAUUAGGUAGUUGGUGGGGUAAAGGCCUACCAAGCCGACGAUCCAUAGCUGGUCUGAGAGGAUGAUCAGCCACACUGGGACUGAGACACGGCCCAGACUCCUACGGGAGGCAGCAGUGGGGAAUAUUGGACAAUGGGCGAAAGCCUGAUCCAGCAAUGCCGCGUGAGUGAUGAAGGCCCUAGGGUUGUAAAGCUCUUUUACCCGGGAAGAUAAUGACUGUACCGGGAGAAUAAGCCCCGGCUAACUCCGUGCCAGCAGCCGCCGUAA
RNAcentral lists this ribosomal RNA (451 nucleotides) under uncultured bacterium. RNAcentral's name for it is "partial 16S ribosomal RNA". It matches the Rfam family "Bacterial small subunit ribosomal RNA", at positions 29 to 523 of the family's 1533-position model. The record is from RNAcentral.